RNAcentral lists this ribosomal RNA (361 nucleotides) under Porticoccus sp. RNAcentral's name for it is "bacterial SSU rRNA". It matches the Rfam family "Bacterial small subunit ribosomal RNA", at positions 1 to 364 of the family's 1533-position model. Lineage: Bacteria; Pseudomonadati; Pseudomonadota; Gammaproteobacteria; Cellvibrionales; Porticoccaceae. The record is from RNAcentral.
UAAACUGAAGAGUUUGAUCAUGGCUCAGAUUGAACGCUGGCGGCAGGCCUAACACAUGCAAGUCGAGCGCGAAAGUUUCUUCGGAAGCGAGUAGAGCGGCGGACGGGUGAGUAACGCGUAGGAAUCUACCCAGUAGUGGGGGACAACUCGGGGAAACCCGAGCUAAUACCGCAUACGCCCUAAGGGGGAAAGCAGGGGAUCUUCGGACCUUGCGCUAUCGGAUGAGCCUGCGUCGGAUUAGCUUGUUGGUGAGGUAAUGGCUCACCAAGGCGACGAUCCGUAGCUGGUCUGAGAGGAUGAUCAGCCACACUGGGACUGAGACACGGCCCAGACUCCUACGGGAGGCAGCAGUGGGGAAUAU